RNAcentral lists this ribosomal RNA (425 nucleotides) under uncultured bacterium. RNAcentral describes it as "partial 16S ribosomal RNA". It matches the Rfam family "Bacterial small subunit ribosomal RNA", at positions 354 to 796 of the family's 1533-position model. The record is from RNAcentral.
GUGGGGAAUAUUGGACAAUGGGCGCAAGCCUGAUCCAGCAAUGCCGCGUGGGUGAAGAAGGCCUUCGGGUUGUAAAGCUCUUUCAGAUGUGAAGAUGAUGACGGUAACAUCAGAAGAAGCUCCGGCUAACUUCGUGCCAGCAGCCGCGGUAAUACGAAGGGAGCGAGCGUUGUUCGGAAUCACUGGGCGUAAAGAGUGCGUAGGCGGUUAUACAAGUCAGGAGUGAAAUCCCAGGGCUCAACCCUGGAAUUGCUUUUGAAACUGUAUAGCUAGAGUCCCGGAGGGGUUAAUGGAAUUCCGAGAGUAGAGGUGAAAUUCGCAGAUAUUCGGAGGAACACCAGUGGCGAAGGCGAUUAACUGGACGGGCACUGACGCUGAGGCACGAAAGCGUGGGGAUCAAACAGGAUUAGAUACCCGAGUAGUCC